UACGUAGGGUGCGAGCGUUACUCGGAAUUACUGGGCGUAAAGCGUGCGCAGGCGGUUUUGUAAGCCAGAUGUGAAAUCCCCGGGCUUAACCUGGGAAUGGCAUUUGGGACUGCAAGGCUCGAGUGCGGCAGAGGAGACUGGAAUUCCUGGUGUAGCAGUGAAAUGCGUAGAUAUCAGGAGGAACACCGGUGGUGUAGACGGCUCUCUGGACCGUAACUGACGCUGAGACACGAAAGCGUGGGUAGCAAACAGG
This 253-nucleotide ribosomal RNA is filed under the name uncultured bacterium. Its description in RNAcentral is "partial 16S ribosomal RNA". It matches the Rfam family "Bacterial small subunit ribosomal RNA", at positions 524 to 776 of the family's 1533-position model. The record is from RNAcentral.